This 497-nucleotide ribosomal RNA is filed under the name uncultured bacterium. Its description in RNAcentral is "partial 16S ribosomal RNA". It matches the Rfam family "Bacterial small subunit ribosomal RNA", at positions 28 to 507 of the family's 1533-position model. The record is from RNAcentral.
GACGAACGCUGGCGGCGUGCCUAAUACAUGCAAGUUGAGCGCUGAAGGUUGGUACUUGUACCGACUGGAUGAGCAGCGCACGGGUGAGUAACGCGUGGGGAAUCUGCCUUUGAGCGGGGGACAACAUUUGGAAACGAAUGCUAAUACCGCAUAAAAACUUUAAACACAAGUUUUAAGUUUGAAAGAUGCAAUUGCAUCACUCAAAGAUGAUCCCGCGUUGUAUUAGCUAGUUGGUGAGGUAAAGGCUCACCAAGGCGAUGAUACAUAGCCGACCUGAGAGGGUGAUCGGCCACAUUGGGACUGAGACACGGCCCAAACUCCUACGGGAGGCAGCAGUAGGGAAUCUUCGGCAAGGGACGAAAGUCUGACCGAGCAACGCCGCGUGAGUGAAGAAGGUUGUCGGAUCGGAAAACUCUGUUGGUAGAGAAGAACGUUGGUGAGAGUGGAAAGCUCAUCAAGUGACGGUAACUACCCAGAAAGGGACGGCUAACUACGUG